Falco peregrinus (peregrine falcon) is the source of this 6301-nucleotide long non-coding RNA. RefSeq lists it as uncharacterized. The record is from RefSeq and is a predicted model, not a curated record. The transcript has 2 exons. Lineage: Eukaryota; Metazoa; Chordata; Aves; Falconiformes; Falconidae.
CUGUGGUGCAGGGAUGCUCUCUGACCCCUGGGUGUGGGGGGAGAUUGUCCUGAGGAAGGGUUGUGCUGCUGCCAGAGUUUGCAGCAUGGGUAUGAGCCCAGCUCUGGUGCAAUCUGCUGCAACGGGACUAGAGAAGAAGUCCCUACCCACAAGAAAAAAAAUAAUGCAAGUUGCUUUAGGGUGAGCUUUGGGGUUGCUGGCAAAGGGUGGGCUCUGCAGAGCUUGUUGGGUGUUUGGGGGCUUUUGUGUAUCUUUGAAGCGUGGGGAGUAAAAUGUCUCUGUGUAAGCAGCAAGUGUUUUGCUAGAGAUUAUGCAAAACUUCCUUUUCUCUCUGCCCUGGAAUAUUUUCUUGGCACUGAAAUACUUGAAGUAUUAUCACCCUGGGAAGUGAAAGCCUUGUCCUUACUCUCUUUGUUUUCCUUGUGCAUCCUAUGGAGAAGAAGUUGCCAGAAUUUAAAGUGUUGCAGUGUUUUUUUGCUGUUGUCUGCAGGUUCCCCAGGGUCUUAUCAGUGGGGCUGCACGACAGCGCAGCAGUCCAUGCCAGCAGCUGACUGGGCGCUUGCACUUGCCAUGCAUCUGGCAGCACCGAGCUGCCAGUUGAUGUGUUUUUAAGUGGUGAAUGGCAACAAAACUCUUCUUCCUGUUUUAGUGCCCAAAGGGAUGGGAUAUAAGGGAUAAAGCAGGGUAGAUAUGCGUAUAAGUAACUUAGUUCACGGGUAUUUUGAACAGCCCCAGCUUGCUUUGAAGUCGAAGGCAGAUGUGAACAGAUGGAGAGUUUGUGAGGAGUGGAGAACAAAUACCACUGUAGCAAAACUGGGACAGGGGCACUUGGCUUUUGGCAUCUGCAUCUGAAAAUGUGGGAAUGCCCAAUGCGCCUCAGGUUUGGUGUGUUGAUACAGCAGCAGAAAUGAGUUGGUGUUUUCUUAGUGAAUAUCUGCAGGUGGAAGUUCCUCUGAAGCUGUGUAAAUCCAGAGCAGUCAUAUAGGUUUCAGUGGAGUGACUGUGGGUUUACACCUCUUUGUAACUGUCUGGGGAGAAAUCUAAUGCUAGGAGGAGCUGAAAGUGGAGGAAGACUUAAUGAAGUUGCAUGUGCCCCUGGAGAACAACACAAAAGGACUGACACAAAAUUUUAUGCGUUCAUAAAUAAGCCUUUUUUUUUUUUAUGAGGAAGAAAGGGCUACUGGGUCUUAUAUGGGAGGAUAGGGGUCUCUGCUAAGAUGCUGUAGAAUGCUACUACUCUUAAAAGAAAGCAGAUUCACACAGUGCAAUGGGUUUAUUAUCAGAGAGACCCAGCUUUGGUGAUUUGUCAAGUCAUGCUGAUUCUUCAGGGAAGGGUUAUUUGGAAUUAAGGUGGGUAGAAGCUGAUAGAAAUUGAUUAACAGGUAGAAAGAUGCUGUCUGUGAAUCACUGAUAUUGCUGCAGCUAGUUUCAGGACUGAAGCAAGUCUUGCCAGUCUGGGACAGAGCGGAGUUGGGAUGUGCUCAGCCCCUGAGGAAGGGCUUGGUCCAAAAUCAUAAGCAGCCUCCAAAAUGAGGCUGGUAAUGGUCACUCAUCAUCCAGGCUGGAUGCUGCGUUGGCAAAAGUGGACAAUACAUGCCUUGUCCUUGGAAGCACCACACCUGCUGUGUUUUAAAGUGUGUGUAAGUCUGCAAGCAGAACCCUCGCCUUAUUCGGGAAUUCCUGAGCUUCUAUCUGGGGGCAAAGAAUAUGCUGGUUUUUGUGACACACUCAACCCCAUCUUGUAGGUUUUGUAAAGGUCACCUAGGAUCUCCUGCAGCAACUCUGCAGUGGAGGGAGGGCUGCGGGUGUGCUGUGUCCAUGUGGGGGAAGAUGGGGUGGGCUGAUUGGAGAAACAGGAAAGUCCCAAACAUGAUGAAUAGUCCAGGAGUUUCAGCAAGCAAAAACAGGGUGCACAGAGAGGGAAACGGGUUCCAGAGCACCAAACUUGCAAUAUUGGUCUGCUAGGAGUCAAUCCCUUUCCAUCUUGGAACUGUCCCAGUCUAUUCUUAGUGAAAUGACACUCAAAGUUUUUAUUUAUUUUUAUUUAAAACAAUUAUUUUGUUUCUCCGUACCACCCAGAUUCCUUUGCAUCUUUUUAUUAUAUCACCUGCUUGAAACAGGUAGGGUCUUGAAGAUGACUUUCUUCCCCUUUCAGAUAGCCUGGGUAGUAGUUUGAAUUGGAUGGUCCCAGGAGAGAGACUGUUAUUCUGUACCUUGCAAAAAUGCUGGCUGUCCACUCUGCCAGCAUGCUGAGCUGGGUGUGCAUGCCUUUAGCUGUGUUUAAGCCCAGUAAAUAUCUGUUAUGGGCCUCAGACAAUAAAAUACCUGAGGAAAGACCUGGGAUCCAUGAAAUUGUGUUCAUGGGAGGCUGAGUUGACUGAACAGAACAGCAUUAAGGAUGGCUUUAAUGUUUGCUGUUGUCACACUGAAAUCAACUUCCUGAGCCCCAAGGGAGGGAGAUUGUUUAAAGUCUGCAGCUUACUUUAAAUUUCAAUGCGUAAUGUAUAAUUUGGCCUACCAUAGAUAUUGGCACAACAUCAGUUUCUCCCCUCCUUGGUUUCACUUGCAUAACGACUGCAACUCUCUCAAAGUCUUCUAGAGCAAAGCUAUUUCGGACCCCUGCAAAGUCUCUUUGUCUUCAAGAAUUAGUGCUUGAUUUUAUUUUUCUUAUUUUUUUAAGGAGGUUGUAAAGGCAAUAAAUGUUAAAACAAAAUAGUGCUUUUUUUUUUUUUUAAGAUAAGGUAAGAAAAAUAAUCUAACUAAGGAGCCAAGCCCCAGAUAGCACAAAGGUGAGGUGCUCUCUACUUGCAAGCAGCUUUUGCUGUGUACAGCACCUUGCAUAAAGUGGUUUUAGUUUGUGGGUAGUGUUUUUACUGUUACAAAGAUAGUAAUGUUGAUUCUACCUUUUCUUUGAUAAUUAAGAUGACUUUUUCCCCCCUACAAAAUGCACUUUCCAAGCGGCACUUUAGGUUUGAACUUUAUACCUAUGUCAGAAGCACCACUUGCUGGCAAUAGUUAAGCAAUGCAAAUGCUGAAGGCAUUUUCCAAGUCACUUGCUGUUUAUAUUAUUACUGUAGCAACUCACUAAAGCCAGAUUUCCAGUGGCAGGCCUCCGUGCCUCCCUUAAAGGCUUGAUCUGUUUGCCUUGCUCUACUGGCUGUAAAUAUCAGAGGUGGCUCUGUUUGGUUUUACAUUUGCAGAAGUAACUUGCUGUUUAUAAUUGAUUUCCAAGUUGGACAAACUGUGAUUCACUGCUGUUGGUGCACAAAGAAAGAACAAAACUAUCUCUAAUUGCUUUUCAGCCAGGGCUGCCUUGACUUUGUGGCCAGGUGGGAGCUUUUCGGUGUGUGAGUAUGUUACAGACCACAGAAACCAAAAUAACAAAGUGGUUAGGAUGAUCAAGGCAAAGGGAGCCUCAUUUAACUGCUGGCAGCACAGAGCUUAAUGUCUCCGCUCAUCCUGCAGCCGUCCAGGGUGGCAUGGCAGGUCCCACAGUUUGAUUUGUGCUGUUUUUCUUGAACCCAGCUUGUCACAUUUGGAGAAUGUGGUUUUAUGCUUUUUUUUUUUAAUUUUUAAAAUUUCUUUUCUUUGUUAAUGCUUUGCUAGGCUUUAGAAGGGGCUGUAAGCAUGUGGAAUGAUGCUGAUCCUUCCCUGCAAAGGGUCUGUGUUGCUGGGUGUGAAGGCUUGGGAAAUGGUAGUGCUGCUGCUCCCCCUCACCCCUUCUACCAGGAGAGGUUGAAGCUCUUCAUUAACUGCUCAAAACUGUCCCUCCUUGCUGUCACUGUGCAGGAGCAAGGAGGUUUCUCCUUCCUACAGACAGGGCAGUUCAGGCACUAAGACUUGCCCUCGGUGGGAAGGCGGCUUUUCCCCAGCAGUGCCCAGCCCUGUGACCAAAACUCCAUCAGAAGUACGGAUCUUUCCAAGAGUUAAAGCGUCCUGAUCUGAGGGAUACCAGCAAUAUCAGAAUAAGUGUUUUUGCUUGUGUGUGUGUGUGGAGGAGAACAAGCUAAAAUAGUGAAUUUACCUUUAAAUGCCCAACUCUGCUGAUCGUUGCUCAAGUUUCUCAUGCUGAGCACUGCUCAUGUCUCCAGCUCGGUGCAGCAUUGUUGUAGCAUGUGAUGCAUGUUGUGGCACAACUUUCCUUAGACUUUCUUAUCUCUCUAGUCCUGCAGCUCUGCCUGGCUCUGGGAUAGCGUGCAGUGCACAGAAAAAGCCGUAACAUGACAGACCAUCUGCUGCUGCCCUUCCCUGUCAGACUGCUUCUGUCCAGGCUGGCUCCAACCAUGCUGGACAAAAAGCCAGAGUGUGGGGUCUAAUGUUUCUCCUUGCUUUGUAAAUUAUAAAUGAUGACCAGUCUGGCUGCUCAAGAGAUGCUUUGAGGAAAGGUAAAAACGACAGUGCUCCCAGCAUUGUCUUUGUGGCUGGUGAAGGUUGUUCUGGCUGUACAGGCCAUGGAAUUGUGGAAGAUAUUUGCGUGCUGCUUGAGCAGAAACAGCAAUGUGGAUGGAUCUGUCUUGAGAUCUACCCAGCUUCCUCCUGUUCCUUGGGGAAGGCAGCAGGAGGCCACGGGGGAGACUUAGUGCCUUUAUCCCCUUCUUGCUUUGAGCUGCAGAGAAGCUGUUGGGAGGCUGUUUUGAACUGGCUGUAAAGUGAUAGUCCUCCAUCCUCUCCCACCCUCUCUCCCCCCUUGAAGGGACUGUAGGACAGUUCUAAGUUAACUCCGAUAUGAAGAGAAGUGUUAUUUUGUGAGCCUAAUGCAUAAAAUCUUCUGUCAGUAUCUCUCUAUGGUUUGACUGCCUUUCUGGCACCUUCCCCACUAACCAGAGGCCAGCAAGAGCUGAACAGCCCUUCCCAUCCACAGAGGUGAUUACAGUAGACUUACAGCAGGCUCCUUCCCUAACCACUGGUUUGUUUGCUGGCUGAAGAUGGAAGUUGUAAUUCAGGUAAUAACACUCCUUCUAGGCUAUGCCAGCAAAACUUUUCCGUCUUGAUUUAGAGAUCAGUCUGUUGAAGUCCAAGAGGAAAAAAAAUGCAUCCAGGACUUUUGUGUUGCACCUGAAGGCGUGAAAAGGCAUCAGCAAAGAACAGGAGACUAGAAAGGAAAGAAACCUGGCUGUGGUGCAGGGGAGUGCUGAGCACUACCUUCCCCCUGAGCUCCUGUACAGAGCUGCUUUUCACAAGGUCUGCCUAUAAACUCAGAUGGCCUUGCUUCUCCUUCAGCUUUCUGAACUUAUUUUUGUCCUCCAGGAUCCAUUCCUACAAGCCUUGACUGGCUCUGUGGCUUUCUUGUGUCCAGCCCGUGAGACAGGGUGUUUAUACCUUGGGUGACAAAGCCAAAGGGCCAUUCUCCAAACAUGCCCUGGACACAGGGAUUUUAAGCUUUUCGAGUAUGAUGUUUCGCCCAGUGACCUGCUACCUUUUCCUUGUUUUGCUGUUGCUGUGUUUGGCUGUCUGCUCCCUUGUACAGGGUGGUACUCCUCCCUGCUGGAGUCUGUCAGCCCCUCCAUCCCUAAAUCAGUUCAGCUCACAGAUCCUGCAGAACAUGGAGUUUGCUUUUUUUUUUUUUUGCAGUGGAAGGAGUUGGAUCCACUUAUGAGGAGUGAGAAGCCUCCCUCUUGGCAGGGAAAGCCAUUAGUUGUGCUAGAGCCAAUAAAAUGAAACUAAGGAGCAGGCUUCCAUUAACAUGGUUAAUGGGUGCAUUGACCUGAAUUCCUAGGAAAGUAGCUUUAAAACAUCGCAUAACGCUUUCUUGCAAUCAUUUUAUUAGCACUUUGAAACUGCUUUUGAAGUUGGCUAGUGGGUCAUGGGAGUACAACAGUUUUUGCAUCCACUGCCAUGUGAGGUGCUAACCUGGGUUUCUGUUGGCUUGGAUGUUCUUCAAGUAGUGCUUUUUUAAAAAAAAUGAACAAAGCAGAGAAAAAAGGAUGUUAGAGGCAGGUUAUUAAAAUCCAGAGAAAGAGGGGUCGUCUCCCCCUUGAGUGUGUACCACUGCUGCUGACCAUAGUGGCAUAAUAUUUCCUAAGGACUUUUUACAUCCAUUGUAUGGACUUAAACACUGAGAUAAAUGCUGAAUUGCUUUUAUUUGACCUUCUUUGCCUUUCAACUCAAGCUAUCUGCACCUGAACACUUCUCUGUGAACAUUGCAAGGAAAAGGAAGACUUAAAAAAAAGAUGCUGAGGAUCUCCUGUCUCAUACAGCCUGGGAAAAUAGCAAAUAGCAGAAGUGGAAAUGGCGUGAUUGAAAAUUGUAACAUACACUACCACUACAAAACUGUGUAAUAUCAGAAUAGUUGCCAUUAAAA